AUGGCGUCCGGGAAGCCGCCGAGCACCCUCCCGCGCCCGCAUCCUGCUGCCCUUUCCCGGGCACAGCUCCCUGGGAGCCCUGGGCGGGGGCACGGAGCAGGGAGCCCCGGGUGCCAUCUGCGGGAGCCCAGGUGGCCGCCCGAGACGUGCCAUCUGCCGAGCCUCCUUCGGGGACCGUGCAGGCGCUGCUGUAUUUUUAGGACGCGUUUCCUCCCUCCCACCUGCAACCCGGAGCAGCCUUUCGGUUUUCUAACAAGUUCUUUCUCUUGCCUCGGGCUGCUCUGCCCAAGCGGCUGUGGGAGAGAGACCCCAGUCCCCAGCUGGCCGGGGGGGGCACGGGCUGAUGACAGCGGAGGGGGGCUCAGCACCACACCGAGGGGGAGUCGUGCCAUGCAGAGAGCAGGCCGGGGCAGACGCCUCGCUGCACGGGGCAGGAAGCCCCUCCGGCUCGUGCAUUGCUCUGCGUGGUGCUCAUGCUGCAGCUGCAAUUUGGGACCAGCGGCUGGGAAUGUCCCCAUCCCCAUGGCCAUCCCCAGAAGCCAGCGGGGCUGCAGGUCCGCAGCAGCAGGGAUGAGCCCGCGCCGUUGCACCAUCCCGGUUGCACAUGCGCCAUCCAUGCUGUGCCGUGCUGUGCUGCGCCGAGCUGUGCUGCGCCGUGCUGCCCAUGCCAUGCCAGGCUGCUCACGCCGUGCUGCACCGGGACAGCCGCGCCGCGCCGUGCCGUGCCGUGCUGUGCCGUCCGGCCAUGCAGGACCAUGCUGCCCGGCGCUGCCCAUGCCGUGCUGCAGCGCGCUGGCCCCUCGCGGUGAGGAAGUGAAGCCAGCGCGAAGGGGAAGUUGUUGGAAAGUCAGACCGGAAUGGCUGAUAGGGGAGGCAGAGCUGGGCUUGGUCGCAGAUGGUUCCUGUUGGGGAAGGACACGGGCGCAGCUGCCCGGCCUCCCCCCGCCCGCCGCAUUAUCACCACCCGGCAGCUGUUCACCUUCCCCUCGCCAUGGGACGCGGCUCUCCUGCCACCGCGGCCCCGGCGGUCACAUGAACGGCCCCCGCCGGGCGGGCCAGGGCGGCGGAGCAGGCACCGAGCGGGCAGCACGCCCCAGGCGGCGCUCAGCAUCUCCCCGCUCCGCGCGGCUCCCCGCCGCUCCUCCGCCUGCGCGGUGCCGGCAGCAUCCCGCCCGUGCCCACCGCUCGCCCCGGCAGCUGGACGCGGCGAGGGUCCCGGCGCCUGCUCGCCCGGGAUGCCCGGGGGACCCUCCAAGCCGCGCAGCUGCCCCUCGUCGCCCGCGCACGGCAGGACCAGCCAAGCCCUUUGUCGAUGAACUUGGAGCCGCUCUGCAAGCAUUCGUCUGCUGAGCACCGCUGUGGGGCAAGCUCCACUUCGCGCGCUGGCAGCGGCGGAGGUCGGGGCACGGAGAUGUUGGGGAAUUGUCCCGAAAACGCACAGUGAAGCCGGAGCAGAAAUCGGGGAGUAUGCUGAAAGUCCAGGCACCUGCAGCCCUGCGCCGGUCCCCGGCGAGAUAGACCCGGGGCCGAGCUGUCGCCUGCAGCGGGGACUUGCUUCUCCGGACGCAGAUGAGGCAGGUCCUCGUGCCCGGUGCUUCCAUGAAAAGAGAAGUUCGAAUUUUGCUUUUGCUGUGCCUGGGGAAAGCCCCCGGGAAGAAAAACAAAGAUGAACUUGGCUGUGCAGAGGGUUUUUUCUCCGCCUGCUGCCCCUUGUCGGGCCCCGCCGGUUUCUGGGCUGGCAGGUAAGGUUUUACCCAGCAGCGGCCAGAUGUUGUGCAUGUUCUGCUUUGAAAAAAUCUGCAACUGCAGGUGUUGGCUUGUAGGAAGAAAAAGCGAAGGGUGCAGGCAGGGCAGGCGGGUCGCUCGCAUGCUGGGUGCCAGGACGGGGCUGGGUGCCGGAUAUGGACACGACACACAGUGGGAGCAAGGCCUCGGCCGGUGCCAGAGUCGUCUGUGAAAUUGGGAUCGUCCCGGGCGUGAGACGAGGCCUGAAGCAGGAUGGAAAAAUACUCUGGAGGGCUGCAGUGCUGGGAAAGCCGUGCCGAUACCGCGUGCGUGGGUUUGGACUGCCCGGCCGCCGCCUGUUGCUGCGGCACGUGUUGGGGCGGCCGGGCCGGGGGACGCUGCCGCGGCUGCGAUCGCAGCCUCCCUCCUGCACCCCGGCGGCUCGCGGGAGCCUCCCGGCAUGGCCCGAUGCACGCGGCUGCCACCGCCGCGGCGGGAGGCCCUGGGGAGAGGCGCUGGCAGCCGGCAGCUGUGCAAGGUGGCCGGGUCUCUCGCGACAUCCGUCUCCUUUGCCCGUGUCGUGUGUUGGGUUUCUGCUUCCAAACUGCGUUUGUCUGCACGUGGG
Molecule: long non-coding RNA, 2350 nt
Filed under: Apteryx owenii (little spotted kiwi)
Lineage: Eukaryota; Metazoa; Chordata; Aves; Apterygiformes; Apterygidae
Description: lncRNA (ENSAOWG00000012367.1)
Source: RNAcentral